This 443-nucleotide ribosomal RNA is filed under the name uncultured bacterium. RNAcentral describes it as "SSU rRNA". It matches the Rfam family "Bacterial small subunit ribosomal RNA", at positions 26 to 518 of the family's 1533-position model. The record is from RNAcentral.
AGAGCGAACGCUGGCGGCAGGCUUAACACAUGCAAGUCGAGCGCCCCGCAAGGGGAGCGGCAGACGGGUGAGUAACGCGUGGGAACGUACCUUUGGUUCGGAACAACACAGGGAAACUUGUGCUAAUACCGGAUAAGCCCUUACGGGGAAAGAUUUAUCGCCGAAAGAUCGGCCCGCGUCUGAUUAGCUAGUUGGUGAGGUAACGGCUUACCAAGGCGACGAUCAGUAGCUGGUCUGAGAGGAUGAUCAGCCACAUUGGGACUGAGACACGGCCCAAACUCCUACGGGAGGCAGCAGUGGGGAAUAUUGGACAAUGGGGGCAACCCUGAUCCAGCCAUGCCGCGUGAGUGAUGAAGGCCCUAGGGUUGUAAAGCUCUUUUAACGGGGAAGAUAAUGACGGUACCCGUAGAAUAAGCCCCGGCUAACUUCGUACCAGCAGCCGC